AAUGUUCAAAUAUUUAUAGGAUUAAGAUGGGCAUGCGUGUCAUUAGCUAGUUGGCGGGGUAACGGCCCACCAAGGCGACGAUGACUAGGGGAUCUGAGAGGAUGACCCCCCACACUGGUACUGAGACACGGACCAGACUCCUACGGGAGGCAGCAGUAAGGAAUAUUGGUCAAUGGAGGCAACUCUGAACCAGCCAUGCCGCGUGCAGGAAGACAGCCCUCUGGGUCGUAAACUGCUUUUAUUCGGGAAUAAACCACAUUACGUGUAAUGUGCUGAAUGUACCGAAGGAAUAAGGAUCGGCUAACUCCGUGCCAGCAGCCGCGGUAAUACGGAGGAUCCAAGCGUUAUCCGGAUUUAUUGGGUUUAAAGGGUGCGUAGGCGGCUUAUUAAGUCAGGGGUGAAAGUCGGUGGCUCAACCAUCGCAGUGCCUUUGAUACUGAUGAGCUUGAAUACACUAGAGGUAGGCGGAAUGUGACAAGUAGCGGUGAAAUGCAUAGAUAUGUCACAGAACACCGAUUGCGAAGGCAGCUUACUAUGGUGUGAUUGACGCUGAGGCACGAAAGCGUGGGGAUCAAACAGGAUUAGAUACCCUGGUAGUCCACGCCCUAAACGAUGAAUACUCGCUGUUAGCGAUAUACAGUUAGCGGCUAAGCGAAAGCGUUAAGUAUUCCACCUGGGGAGUACGCCCGCAAGGGUGAAACUCAAAGGAAUUGACGGGGGCCCGCACAAGCGGAGGAGCAUGUGGUUUAAUUCGAUGAUACGCGAGGAACCUUACCCGGGCUUGAAAGUUAGUGAAUCAUUUAGAGAUAGAUGAGUCCGCAAGGACACGAAACUAGGUGCUGCAUGGCUGUCGUCAGCUCGUGCCGUGAGGUGUUGGGUUAAGUCCCGCAACGAGCGCAACCCCUAUGUUUAGUUGCCAGCACGUUAUGGUGGGGACUCUAAACAGACUGCCUGUGCAAACAGAGAGGAAGGAGGGGACGACGUCAAGUCAUCAUGGCCCUUACGUCCGGGGCUACACACGUGCUACAAUGGAUGGUACAGAGGGCAGCAAGCUGGCAACAGCAAGCGAAUCUCAAAAAGCCAUUCACAGUUCGGAUAGAGGUCUGCAACUCGACCUCUUGAAGUUGGAUUCGCUAGUAAUCGCGUAUCAGCAAUGACGCGGUGAAUACGUUCCCGGGCCUUGUACACACCGCCCGUCAAGCCAUGGAAGUUGGGGGUACCUAAAGUAUGUAACCGCAAGGAGCGUCCUAGGGUAAAACCGAUAACUGGGGCUAAGUCGUAACAAGGUA
RNAcentral lists this ribosomal RNA (1289 nucleotides) under metagenome. RNAcentral describes it as "bacterial SSU rRNA". It matches the Rfam family "Bacterial small subunit ribosomal RNA", at positions 196 to 1498 of the family's 1533-position model. The record is from RNAcentral.